RNAcentral lists this ribosomal RNA (402 nucleotides) under uncultured bacterium. RNAcentral's name for it is "partial 16S ribosomal RNA". It matches the Rfam family "Archaeal small subunit ribosomal RNA", at positions 473 to 873 of the family's 1478-position model. The record is from RNAcentral.
ACACCGGCAGCUCAAGUGGUAGCCGCUUUUAUUGGGCCUAAAGCGUCCGUAGCCGGUCUGAUAAGUCUCUGGUGAAAUCCCACAGCUUAACUGUGGGAAUUGCUGGAGAUACUAUCAUGACUCGAGGUCGGGAGAGGCUGGAGGUACUCCCAGGGUAGGGGUGAAAUCCUGUAAUCCUGGGAGGACCACCUGUGGCGAAGGCGUCUAACUGGAACGAACCUGACGGUGAGUAACGAGAGCCAGGGGCGCGAACCGGAUUAGAUACCCGGGUAGUCCUGGCCGUAAACGAUGUGGACUUGGUGUUGGGAUGGCCUCGAGCUGCCCCAGUGCCGAAGGGAAGCUGUUAAGUCCACCGCCUGGGAAGUACGGUCGCAAGACUGAAACUUAAAUGAAUUGGCGGGG